RNAcentral lists this ribosomal RNA (497 nucleotides) under uncultured bacterium. Its description in RNAcentral is "partial 16S ribosomal RNA". It matches the Rfam family "Bacterial small subunit ribosomal RNA", at positions 28 to 507 of the family's 1533-position model. The record is from RNAcentral.
GAUGAACGCUGGCGGCGUGCCUAAUACAUGCAAGUCGAGCGAACGGACGAGAAGCUUGCUUUUCUGAUGUUAGCGGCGGACGGGUGAGUAACACGUGGAUAACCUACCUAUAAGACUGGGAUAACUUCGGGAAACCGGAGCUAAUACCGGAUAAUAUUUUGAACCGCAUGGUUCAAAAGUGAAAGACGGUCUUGCUGUCACUUAUAGAUGGAUCCGCGCUGCAUUAGCGAGUUGGUAAGGUAACGGCUUACCAAGGCAACGAUGCAUAGCCGACCUGAGAGGGUGAACGGCCACACUGGAACUGAGACACGGUCCAGACUCCUACGGGAGGCAGCAGUAGGGAAUCUUCCGCAAUGGGCGGAAGCCUGACGGAGCAACGCCGCGUGAGUGAUGAAGGUCUUCGGAUCGUAAAACUCUGUUAUUAGGGAAGAACAUAUGUGUAAGUAACUGUGCACAUCUUGACGGUACCUAAUCAGAAAGCCACGGCUAACUACGUG